Molecule: transfer-messenger RNA, 366 nt
Filed under: chicken gut metagenome
Rfam family: transfer-messenger RNA
About the family: Bacterial tmRNA, also known as 10Sa RNA or SsrA, is named for its dual tRNA and mRNA-like properties. Its role is to liberate the mRNA from a stalled ribosome.
Source: RNAcentral
GGGGGUGUACCGGCUUCGACAUUCGGUUUGAGGCGGCGCAAGCAUACCGCAGGCUCGUCUGCGUCAUCAACGGAACGCAAAUAAUUAAACGCGAACAAAAAUACUCAGAGCUCCUCUAACAUGGAGUUCGCCCUCGCCGCUUAAUUAGUCGGCGCGCCGCCCCCGGGUUUUCCGUUCCCCGGGCAAGCGGCGUCAGAAAAACGGACAACGCGGUCCCAUCGCCCGGUAAGACCGCAGUUUAACGGGCUCUUCGCUCCCCGCGCUUGCCGUUGUGCCGGGUAGCGUGAAACCGAACAUCGGCUAAGUAUGUAGAAACCGCCGUCAAGGGUCGUAUGGACCGGGGUUCAACUCCCCGCACCUCCACCA